CWUSAAGACGACCAAGACUCCUGAGAAGACCAKAAGAAGAACCUCUUAGAUAUAAUGAUUAUAAUGUGGUAGAGUUCAUUCCAAUUUCUGAAUUCCUUUGCCAAUUUGUGAGCCAAUCCUCCUUACCUUGUUUGUGGAUAUCUGACUUACCUUGAUCCUGGCUUGUGGGUGACUGUUUUCUUGUUUGUCCAAUUUUUCAUCUGAGAACCUAGACCUUACCUGGGGCUUGAACCUGUACCUUCAACUUACCUCUUGCCAUGUAUCCGGUGAAUCUGUGCUGUAGACUGUCAGUGAGAUUGUUGAGGGUAAAGGUUUGAAAGAUCCUUAAGACAUAUUGCUUGUAAUGCGUGGUAUUAAUGAGCAAAUAAAAAUGUUUAUAAAUAA
This is a long non-coding RNA of Actinia tenebrosa (Australian red waratah sea anemone), 384 nucleotides long. Lineage: Eukaryota; Metazoa; Cnidaria; Anthozoa; Actiniaria; Actiniidae. The record is from RefSeq and is a predicted model, not a curated record.